RNAcentral lists this ribosomal RNA (537 nucleotides) under uncultured bacterium. Its description in RNAcentral is "partial 16S ribosomal RNA". It matches the Rfam family "Bacterial small subunit ribosomal RNA", at positions 355 to 885 of the family's 1533-position model. The record is from RNAcentral.
UGGGGAAUAUUGCACAAUGGGCGCAAGCCUGAUGCAGCCAUGCCGCGUGUGUGAAGAGGGCCUUCGGGUUGUAAAGCACUUUCAGCGAGGAGGAAGGUGGUGAACUUAAUACGUUCAUCAAUUGACGUUACUCGCAGAAGAAGCACCGGCUAACUCCGUGCCAGCAGCCGCGGUAAUACGGAGGGUGCAAGCGUUAAUCGGAAUUACUGGGCGUAAAGCGCACGCAGGCGGUUUGUUAAGUCAGAUGUGAAAUCCCCGGGCUCAACCUGGGAACUGCAUUUGAAACUGGCAAGCUAGAGUCUCGUAGAGGGGGGUAGAAUUCCAGGUGUAGCGGUGAAAUGCGUAGAGAUCUGGAGGAAUACCGGUGGCGAAGGCGGCCCCCUGGACGAAGACUGACGCUCAGGUGCGAAAGCGUGGGGAGCAAACAGAUUAGAUACCCUGGUAGUCCACGCUGUAAACGAUGUCGAUUUUGGAGGUUGUGCCCUUGAGGCGUGCUUCCGGAGCUAACGCGUUAAAUCGACCGCCUGGGGAGUACGG